Molecule: long non-coding RNA, 402 nt
Filed under: Pan troglodytes (chimpanzee)
Lineage: Eukaryota; Metazoa; Chordata; Mammalia; Primates; Hominidae
Description: long non-coding RNA NONPTRT000443
Source: RNAcentral
AGCAUGAAGGGGGAGGAGCCCCUUAUAAGACAAUCAGAUCUUGUGAGAACUCACUAUCAUGAGAACAGCGUGAAGGAAACUGGCCCCAUGAUCCAAUCACCUCCCACUAGGUCCCUUGUCAAUACCUGGGUGACAAAAUUAUCUGUACACCAAAUCCCCAAGAAAUGCAAUUUACCCAUGUAGCAAAUCUGCAUGUACAAACAAACCACAUGUACACCUUGAACUGAAAAUAAAUGCUGGGAAGAAAAAAGAAGAAACAUACCCAAACAGAAUAAAGACUAUAUAUGAUAAGCCCACAUCUUACAUUACACUCCAAUUGUAGAAAGUUGGAAGACUUUUCUCUAAGAUCAGGAACAAGACAAAAAUGCCCACUCUAUUCAAGGUAUAGUAUUAGAAGACCUA